AACGAACGCUGGCGGCAGGCCUAACACAUGCAAGUCGAGCGAGGACUUCGGUCCUAGCGGCGGGCGGGUGAGUAACGCGUGGGAACGUGCCCUUUGCUUCGGAAUAGCCCUGGGAAACUGGGAGUAAUACCGGAUGAGCCCUUUGGGGGAAAGAUUUAUCGGCGAAGGAUCGGCCCGCGUUGGAUUAGGUAGUUGGUGGGGUAAUGGCCUACCAAGCCGACGAUCCAUAGCUGGUUUGAGAGGAUGAUCAGCCACACUGGGACUGAGACACGGCCCAGACUCCUACGGGAGGCAGCAGUGGGGAAUCUUAGACAAUGGGGGAAACCCUGAUCUAGCCAUGCCGCGUGAGCGAUGAAGGCCUUAGGGUUGUAAAGCUCUUUCAGCUGGGAAGAUAAUGACGGUACCAGCAGAAGAAGCCCCGGCUAACUCCGUG
RNAcentral lists this ribosomal RNA (433 nucleotides) under uncultured bacterium. RNAcentral describes it as "partial 16S ribosomal RNA". It matches the Rfam family "Bacterial small subunit ribosomal RNA", at positions 29 to 507 of the family's 1533-position model. The record is from RNAcentral.